CCUACGGGAGGCAGCAGUGGGGAAUAUUGCACAAUGGGCGAAAGCCUGAUGCAGCGACGCCGCGUGAACGAAGAAGUAUUUCGGUAUGUAAAGUUCUAUCAGCAGGGAAGAAAAAUGACGGUACCUGACUAAGAAGCUCCGGCUAAAUACGUGCCAGCAGCCGCGGUAAUA
Molecule: ribosomal RNA, 171 nt
Filed under: uncultured rumen bacterium
Lineage: Bacteria
Description: partial 16S ribosomal RNA
Rfam family: Bacterial small subunit ribosomal RNA
Source: RNAcentral